Molecule: unclassified non-coding RNA, 201 nt
Filed under: uncultured fungus
Lineage: Eukaryota; Fungi
Description: sequence contains ITS1
Source: RNAcentral
UUGACUGGUUUCCCGCUUCCCGCGGGGGACUCGGAGGGGCCUAGGCACGCCACGUAGUUUCGGACGGGGUACCGCCGGCGGGUCCCGGGUGGCUCCGCCCUGGAGCCGCCCGCCGAGGCACGUUGCUGGUAGGUUCGCGAUGGUUUGGGAGCGGUCCGGGCCGGCUCGUCAAUGAUCCCUCCGCUGGUUCACCAACGGAGA